UGGGGAAUAUUGGACAAUGGGCGCAAGCCUGAUCCAGCCAUGCCGCGUGAGUGACGAAGGCCUUAGGGUUGUAAAGCUCUUUUGGCGGGGAAGAUAAUGACGGUACCCGCAGAAUAAGCUCCGGCUAACUUCGUGCCAGCAGCCGCGGUAAUACGAAGGGAGCUAGCGUUGUUCGGAAUCACUGGGCGUAAAGCGCACGUAGGUGGGCAGUUAAGUCAGGGGUGAAAGCCCGAGGCUCAACCUCGGAAUUGCCUCUGAUACUGGCUGUCUAGAGUUCGAGAGAGGUGAGUGGAAUUCCUAGUGUAGAGGUGAAAUUCGUAGAUAUUAGGAAGAACACCGGUGGCGAAGGCGGCUCACUGGCUCGAUACUGACACUGAGGUGCGAAAGCCAGGGGAGCAAACGGGAUUAGAUACCCCAGUAGUCCCUGAGCGGGCUGGCAAGGCGCAU
RNAcentral lists this ribosomal RNA (447 nucleotides) under uncultured bacterium. RNAcentral describes it as "bacterial SSU rRNA". It matches the Rfam family "Bacterial small subunit ribosomal RNA", at positions 355 to 825 of the family's 1533-position model. The record is from RNAcentral.